Molecule: ribosomal RNA, 665 nt
Filed under: Actinomycetes bacterium
Lineage: Bacteria; Bacillati; Actinomycetota; Actinomycetes
Description: bacterial SSU rRNA
Rfam family: Bacterial small subunit ribosomal RNA
Source: RNAcentral
GACGCUGGCGGCAUGCCUUACACAUGCAAGUCGAACGGUAACAGGUCUUUCGGGAUGCUGACGAGUGGCGAACGGGUGAGUAAUACAUCGGAACGUGCCUAGUAGUGGGGGAUAACUACUCGAAAGAGUGGCUAAUACCGCAUGAGAUCUAUGGAUGAAAGCAGGGGACCUUCGGGCCUUGUGCUACUAGAGCGGCCGAUGGCAGAUUAGGUAGUUGGUGGGAUAAAAGCUUACCAAGCCUACGAUCUGUAGCUGGUCUGAGAGGACGAUCAGCCACACUGGGACUGAGACACGGCCCAGACUCCUACGGGAGGCAGCAGUGGGGAAUUUUGGACAAUGGGCGCAAGCCUGAUCCAGCAAUGCCGCGUGCAGGAUGAAGGCCUUCGGGUUGUAAACUGCUUUUGUACGGAACGAAAAGUCUUGGGUUAAUACCCUGGGAUCAUGACGGUACCGUAAGAAUAAGCACCGGCUAACUACGUGCCAGCAGCCGCGGUAAUACGUAGGGUGCAAGCGUUAAUCGGAAUUACUGGGCGUAAAGCGUGCGCAGGCGGUUUUGUAAGACAGUGGUGAAAUCCCCGGGCUCAACCUGGGAACUGCCAUUGUGACUGCAAGGCUGGAGUGCGGCAGAGGGGGAUGGAAUUCCGCGUGUAGCAGUGAAAUGCGUA